GACGAACGCUGGCGGCGUGCUUAACACAUGCAAGUCGAACGGAAAGGCCCUGCUUGUGUGGGGGGCUCGAGUGGCGAACGGGUGUGUAACACGUGUGUAACCUGCCCUUGACUUUGGGAUAACUUCAGGAAACUGGGGCUAAUACCGGAUAGGAGCUCCUGCUGCAUGGUGGGGGGUGGAAAGUUUCGGCGGUUGGGGAUGGACUCGCGGCUUAUCAGCUUGUUGGUGGGGUAGUGGCUUACCAAGGCUUUGACGGGUAGCCGGCCUGAGAGGGUGACCGGCCACAUUGGGACUGAGAUACGGCCCAGACUCCUACGGGAGGCAGCAGUGGGGAAUAUUGCACAAUGGGCGGAAGCCUGAUGCAGCAACGCCGCGUGCGGGAUGACGGCCUUCGGGUUGUAAACCGCUUUCGCCUGUGACGAAGCGUGAGUGACGGUAAUGGGUAAAGAAGCACCGGCUAACUACGUG
RNAcentral lists this ribosomal RNA (468 nucleotides) under uncultured bacterium. RNAcentral's name for it is "partial 16S ribosomal RNA". It matches the Rfam family "Bacterial small subunit ribosomal RNA", at positions 28 to 507 of the family's 1533-position model. The record is from RNAcentral.